RNAcentral lists this ribosomal RNA (694 nucleotides) under uncultured Burkholderiaceae bacterium. RNAcentral's name for it is "bacterial SSU rRNA". It matches the Rfam family "Bacterial small subunit ribosomal RNA", at positions 617 to 1313 of the family's 1533-position model. The record is from RNAcentral. Lineage: Bacteria; Pseudomonadati; Pseudomonadota; Betaproteobacteria; Burkholderiales; Burkholderiaceae.
GGAAUUGCAUUGGUGACUGCACGGCUAGAGUGUGUCAGAGGGGGGUAGAAUUCCACGUGUAGCAGUGAAAUGCGUAGAGAUGUGGAGGAAUACCGAUGGCGAAGGCAGCCCCCUGGGAUAACACUGACGCUCAUGCACGAAAGCGUGGGGAGCAAACAGGAUUAGGUACCCUGGUAGUCCACGCCCUAAACGAUGUCAACUAGUUGUUGGGGAUUCAUUUCCUUAGUAACGUAGCUAACGCGUGAAGUUGACCGCCUGGGGAGUACGGUCGCAAGAUUAAAACUCAAAGGAAUUGACGGGGACCCGCACAAGCGGUGGAUGAUGUGGAUUAAUUCGAUGCAACGCGAAAAACCUUACCUACCCUUGACAUGCCACUAACGAAGCAGAGAUGCAUUAGGUGCUCGAAAGAGAAAGUGGACACAGGUGCUGCAUGGCUGUCGUCAGCUCGUGUCGUGAGAUGUUGGGUUAAGUCCCGCAACGAGCGCAACCCUUGUCUCUAGUUGCUACGAAAGGGCACUCUAGAGAGACUCCCGGUGACAAACCGGAGGAAAGGCGGGGAUCACGUCAAGUCUUCAUGGCCCUUAUGGGUAGGGCUUCACACGUCAUACAAUCGGUGCAUACAGAGGGUUCCCAAGCCGCGAGGUGGAGCUAAUCCCAGAAAAUGCAUCGUAGUCCGGAUCGUAGUCUGCAACUC